UUUGACGUUAGCGGCGGACGGGUGAGUAACACGUGGGUAACCUACCUAUAAGACUGGGAUAACUUCGGGAAACCGGAGCUAAUACCGGAUAAUAUUUCGAACCGCAUGGUUCGAUAGUGAAAGGUGGUUUUGCUAUCACUUAUAGAUGGACCCGCGCCGUAUUAGCUAGUUGGUAAGGUAACGGCUUACCAAGGCGACGAUACGUAGCCGACCUGAGAGGGUGAUCGGCCACACUGGAACUGAGACACGGUCCAGACUCCUACGGGAGGCAGCAGAC
This 277-nucleotide ribosomal RNA is filed under the name uncultured Staphylococcus sp. RNAcentral's name for it is "partial 16S ribosomal RNA". It matches the Rfam family "Bacterial small subunit ribosomal RNA", at positions 85 to 354 of the family's 1533-position model. Lineage: Bacteria; Bacillati; Bacillota; Bacilli; Caryophanales; Staphylococcaceae. The record is from RNAcentral.